This 26-nucleotide non-coding RNA is filed under the name Homo sapiens (human). Lineage: Eukaryota; Metazoa; Chordata; Mammalia; Primates; Hominidae. The record is from RNAcentral.
UGCAGAGGCGGCCGUCGAUGAAGACC